AGCGAACGCUGGCGGCAGGCUUAACACAUGCAAGUCGAGCGGGCACUUCGGUGUCAGCGGCAGACGGGUGAGUAACACGUGGGAACGUACCCUUUGGUUCGGAAUGACGCUGGGAAACUAGCGCUAAUACCGGAUACGCCCUUUUGGGGAAAGGCUUGCUGCCGAAGGAUCGGCCCGCGUCUGAUUAGCUAGUUGGUGGGGUAAUGGCCUACCAAGGCGACGAUCAGUAGCUGGUCUGAGAGGAUAAUCAGCCACACUGGGACUGAGACACGGCCCAGACUCCUACGGGAGGCAGCAGUGGGGAAUAUUGGACAAUGGGCGCAAGCCUGAUCCAGCCAUGCCGCGUGAGUGAUGAAGGCCUUAGGGUUGUAAAGCUCUUUUGUCCGGGACGAUAAUGACGGUACCGGAAGAAUAAGCCCCGGCUAACUUCGUG
Molecule: ribosomal RNA, 433 nt
Filed under: uncultured bacterium
Lineage: Bacteria
Description: partial 16S ribosomal RNA
Rfam family: Bacterial small subunit ribosomal RNA
Source: RNAcentral